AUCCAAUGGCGACCUUUACUUUGACCUUGACCUUCAAUGUCAUGCCAAGGUCACGCGUUCUUAUUCGAGCGGGAACCCAUGUUUCUAACUGCAACAAUGAAUAGAAUGGACGUUUGAAUAUGACCUUGAAAAUCAUGGUCAAGGUUGUUAGGUUAAUGGGUUAUAGAUUCCAAAGUUAUGUAAUAGAAGUUUGAGAUUUUUCCACGGUUUAACGAUACCGGCUUUGAAUUUGAUCUUGAUCAUGACAUUCUUGAUCGUAUCAAGGUCAUGAAUUUUUAUUCAAAAGGGGCCAUAUA
Molecule: long non-coding RNA, 296 nt
Organism: Diabrotica virgifera virgifera (western corn rootworm)
Lineage: Eukaryota; Metazoa; Arthropoda; Insecta; Coleoptera; Chrysomelidae
Exons: 2
Source: RefSeq, a predicted model, not a curated record